This 467-nucleotide ribosomal RNA is filed under the name uncultured bacterium. RNAcentral's name for it is "partial 16S ribosomal RNA". It matches the Rfam family "Bacterial small subunit ribosomal RNA", at positions 28 to 506 of the family's 1533-position model. The record is from RNAcentral.
GACGAACGCUGGCGGCGUGCUUAACACAUGCAAGUCGAACGGAAAAGCCCUGUUUUUGUGGGGUGCUGGUGUGUCGCACGCGUGUGUAUCACAUGUGUAUACUGCCCUUGACUCUUGGGUAUCUUCAGGAAACUGGGGCUAAUACCGGAUAUGAGCUCCUGCUGCAUAGUGGGGGUUGGAAAAUUUCGGCGGUUGGGGAUGGACUCGCGGCUCAUCAGCUUGUUGGUGGGGUGGUGGCUUACCAAGGCGUUGACGGGUAGCCGGCCGGGGAGGGUGACCGGCCACAGUGGGGCUGAGAUACGGCCCAGACUACUACGGGCGGCAGUGGUGGGGAUUAUUGCACAAGGGGCGGAAGGCUGAAGCAGCAACGCGGCGGGCGGGAUGACGGCCGUCGGGUUGUAAACCGUUUUCGCCGGAGACGAAGCGGGAGUAACGGUAAUGGAGAAAGAAGCACCGCCUAACUACGU